GGCUGAUGCAUUUGGCGGCUUUCUCCUCCCCGGCCGCAGCAGCAGCCGUUCCCCUCUGGAGGUUUUUCAAACCUUCACAACUGACAGGGCCCAAGUUCUCUUGCGGCCCUUUUUU
Molecule: small RNA, 115 nt
Filed under: Sinorhizobium alkalisoli
Lineage: Bacteria; Pseudomonadati; Pseudomonadota; Alphaproteobacteria; Hyphomicrobiales; Rhizobiaceae
Description: Ensifer sp. YIC4027 Alphaproteobacterial ar15
Rfam family: Alphaproteobacterial ar15
Source: Rfam by way of RNAcentral